RNAcentral lists this ribosomal RNA (448 nucleotides) under uncultured bacterium. RNAcentral describes it as "bacterial SSU rRNA". It matches the Rfam family "Bacterial small subunit ribosomal RNA", at positions 329 to 794 of the family's 1533-position model. The record is from RNAcentral.
GUCCAGACUCCUACGGGAGGCAGCAGUGGGGGAUAUUGCACAAUGGGGGAAACCCUGAUGCAGCGACGCCGCGUGAGUGAAGAAGUAUUUCAGUAUGUAAAGCUCUAUCAGCAGGGAAGAAAAUGACGGUACCUGACUAAGAAGCCCCGGCUAACUACGUGCCAGCAGCCGCGGUAAUACGUAGGGGGCAAGCGUUAUCCGGAUUUACUGGGUGUAAAGGGAGCGUAGACGGCAUGGCAAGUCAGAUGUGAAAGCCCGGGGCUCAACCCCGGGACUGCAUUUGAAACUGUCAGGCUGGAGUGCAGGAGAGGUAAGUGGAAUUCCUAGUGUAGCGGUGAAAUGCGUAGAUAUUAGGAGGAACACCAGUGGCGAAGGCGGCUUACUGGACUGUAACUGACGUUGAGGCUCGAAAGCGUGGGGAGCAAACAGGAUUAGAUACCCCAGUAUA